UACGGAGGAUCCGAGCGUUAUCCGGAUUUAUUGGGUUUAAAGGGUGCGCAGGCGGGAGAUUAAGUCGGCGGUGAAAUUUUGCAGCUCAACUGUAAAAGUGCCUUCGAAACUGGUUUCCUUGAGUGUAGAUGAAGUAGGCGGAAUUUGUGGUGUAGCGGUGAAAUGCAUAGAUAUUGGGAAGAAUACCAGUAGCGAAGGCGACUUACUGGCCUCUAACUGACGCUGAUGAACGAAAGCGUGGGUAGCAAACAGGAUUAGAUACCCGGGUAGUCCCUGA
RNAcentral lists this ribosomal RNA (277 nucleotides) under uncultured prokaryote. RNAcentral describes it as "partial 16S ribosomal RNA". It matches the Rfam family "Bacterial small subunit ribosomal RNA", at positions 524 to 800 of the family's 1533-position model. The record is from RNAcentral.